Mytilus californianus (California mussel) is the source of this 3705-nucleotide long non-coding RNA. RefSeq lists it as uncharacterized. The record is from RefSeq and is a predicted model, not a curated record. The transcript is spliced from 2 exons. Lineage: Eukaryota; Metazoa; Mollusca; Bivalvia; Mytilida; Mytilidae.
AGUUCAAAUAUUGUCUACAUAAAACAAUGAAAUAUAGAUAUUAUUAUUUAAUUUUAUGACUAAAGUUUGUACGUUCUAUCAUUUGAUUCUUAGGUCACAGUUUUUACUCCCCGGGUGUUUUAUCAUGAUCUAUGGAUGAUUAAACAUAUUUAGUGUUGAGUGCGAAUAAAACAUUAUAUGUCACAUAACAACUCUUAUAACUAAAAGCUGUCAAUUAACUCCCCAAAAAGGAAAAUAUCAACAUAUUCUGGAUUCUCUAAUAGUUUUGUGUUAUUUGACCAAAUAUAUCCAGGUUCAUCGAUAAUUCGCUAUUUCCGAACUUGUCCCACGUGAUAAUAUUCAUCAAACUUAAGGUCAAAGCAAUUUAAUAUGGUUUAAUAUUUUAAAACAUUUUGAAUAUCUAUGUAAUAUACAAUAGCAUUUUGGGUAGCUUAUUAAUUUACUGGACAUGCUUUUUUGUUUUCUGGUAUACAUUUAUGCGCUUGCGCCGAAUAAAACAUAAAAACAGUCUCUCAAUUGACAGAAUUAGUCCAACAAAAUUUUUCCUAUUGAUUACCAUGUGUUAUAAUAUUAUGUUCAGUUACAGUUACUUCCCUGGAAAAGAAAUUGCUGUCCCAGAAAUUACUCAGAGUUAAUUCAGAAUAAUUGUGAAAAACACAGGGUGCUUAUAUCUCGGAAUUGUAUGUAGCAAUUGUUAUGGAACUAUACAAUAAUGUUAACCAGCAUGUGCAGAUUUGCAAUCGGGGUAUGGCAUUUCCAAGAUGGCCACCGUUUCUAUGGAAACAGCAAAAAUGUAAAAAAAAAUCGAUUUGCUUCAAAGAUAAUGAAACUUCACACAAAUAUUGACUGGCAUUUGUAGAGGUGCCAUUUGACUUUGGAAUUUUCAAAAUGGCUACCGUUAUCAUGGAAACAGCAAAAUUUUUCAAAAUUUCAAACUGAAAUUUGACUUUGGAAUUUUCAGAAUGGCCGCCGUUACCACGGAAAGAGUAAUAAUGUAGACAAAUGAAAAAUGCUCCAAAUUUCAUGAAAAUUUACAGAUAGAAGUUUAGUAGUGUAUAUAAAUGUGCAUUCACUGUUUAAAAUUUUUCAAAAUGUCUACAGUUUAGUGGCAAUUUGGCGGACGUGAGUGCCAUCCGCUAUUGCUAGCAAUUGCAAAUCUAGUUUUUAUCAUUAUUUUUCUUCCACAUAUUUUUGUCCGCUCUAGACCUCGCAAUUGAUUGGACGCAAGUUGAUGGAACUAUACAAUAAUGUUAACCACCAUUGGGGGUUUGCAUUUUCAAGAUGGCUGCCAUUGCCAUGAAAAUAGCAAAAAUGCAAAAAAAGGAAGGUGUUCCAAACUUAAUGAAACUUUACAGAAAUGGUAACUGGCAUUUGUAGAGUUGCAGUGUGACUUUGGAAUUUUCAAAAUGGCUGCCGUUACCAUGGAAACAGAAAAAUUGUUCAAAAUUUCAAAAUGCUCCAAACUAAAUAAAAAUUUACAAAAAUGUUAAUUGGCUGCGCUGUGUGACUUUGGAAUUUAUAGUUCAAACUACGUUUAGUUUUGACGGCAGAUCGUCUGUAGUUCAAACUGCUUUUAUAAGACAAAGUGUGUAGUUUUGAUGGAAGAUCUACUGUAGUUCAAACUACUUUUACAAGACAAAGUGUUGAGAUUUGUUGGAAGAUCUUCUGUAGUUCAAACUACUUUUACAAGACAAAGUGUUGAGAUUUGUUGGAAGAUCUUCUGUAGUUCAAACUACUAUUAAUUGACAAAGUGUCAGGUUUUUUGACAGAUCUUCUAUAGCCAAACUACUUCUAAGAGACUAUGUGUUUAGAUUUGAUUCAGAAAAUGGCAGAUGUUAUGUUUAAAUAGAGCAGAUAGAGAGGAUGUCAGAAAUGUGAAAAUUGAGCAGAUUUAGAUGAUGACAGAUUAUAUAUGAACAUUGAGUAGAUUUAGAUGUUGACAUUUAUAUUGAAAUUGAACAGAUUUUGACGAUAAAAUAUGGUAUGUGAACAUUGAGUAGAUUUAGAGGACGACAGAUUACAUAUGAACAUUGAGUAGAUUUAGAGGUUGACAUUUAUAUUGAAAUUGAACAGAUUUUUUGUAUGUGUAUAUUGAGUAGAUUUAGAAGAUGACCUCUGGUUUGUAAAUAUUGAGUAGAUUUAGAGGAUGACAUCUGGUUUGUAGAUAUUGAGUAGAUUUAGAGGAUGACAUCUGGUUUGUAGAUAUUGAGUAGAUUUAGAGGAUGACAUCUGGUUUGUAGAUAUUGAGUAGAUUUAGAGGAUGACAUCUGGUUUGUAGAUAUUGAGUAGAUUUAGAGGAGGACAUAUAUAUUGAAAUUGAGGAGAUUUUGACGAUUACAGGUGAUAUGUGAAUAUUGUGUAGAUUUAGAGGAUGCCAUGAUAUGUGCAUUUGUGUAAUAACUAGGGAUGUCAACUCGGUGAAGAUUUACUAAUCGAGUACUCGUUAGAUUUACCGAGCGAUACUCGAGUACUCGCUCGGAAAACAUCUACAAAAUGGAAACACAAAAUUAUACCCAUUUUACCUAUUGUGGGUCGUUCGUUGUCUUAUAUAUGGACGUAAAACCCUCAACAUUAUUACAUAGGACUAGAUAAUAGUCCCAGGAAUGUAUACCAUAAUUAAUAGCUCAUUUACUACAUGCACUAAUUGUGUAAACUGACAAUAAUCUAAUCAAUUAAUUAAUAAACAUCUAUAGAAAACUGUAAACUCAAACAACAGUAUUUGUGAAUCGUAUAAAAACACAUUUAGUGAUCAACAAAGGGGUAAUGAUAAGGACUAAGUCUUACUGAUGGUUUUAACCAUUCUCUGAGGGUCGACACAGGGUGCAACGAAUUUGUUCUUAUUUCGAAAUAUGAUCUUUUCAACUUUUUCUGGGACGAGUCGAUUUUUCGACUUUGUAACGUAACUAUUAAACAGUCCUACCGAUGAAAAUAUUUGCUAUGGCGGUAAAGAGGUGGUGGAAUUACUACGACACGAUUAGCUAAAAGUGUAAGCCUUAGAAAGGUGCUCUUACUCAUAGCCUACCUCUGUUCGACGGGAAUUUUAAAUGACAAUUAAACGCAAACGUUCGAAACGUAUUUUAAUUUUGAUUAAUUUUGAUUAAUAUUUGAUUUCCCGGGAGGCGCUCUUAAUAAAAAUAGUUUUCCUUUAAGAAGGCAACAACAUUCUAACAGAAACCGAUUAGUCGAGUAUCAGUUUGGUAUUCGAUACUCGGUACUACCGAGCGAUACUCGAGUACUCGUUGACAUCCCUAGUAAUAACAGAACAAAAAAUCGUAAAUAUACAAAUAUGAAACGAGUAUGCAUUAACUGAAUAUAAAUACAUUUUAUAAUUUUUACCAAAAACGAAUCCGGGUAGACACAAAAUAUCUACGUGAUAUUUGAUUUCAGUUAAACAUCAGUUGUACGAAAUUAAGGGAGAAAUCUCUGUUUUUGAGAGUUGAAGGCCGUACGGUGACCUUGAGUUGCAAAAAUUCGCUUCAUUUUGGACGCUGCUGGCUAGUUGUAUCAUCGGUAACCAUACCUCAUCUCCUUAUUCUAUACUCAUUUCGUAAAUUGUUUAAGAAAAAGCUUUACUUAGCAUUGUCUCCAAAAAAUUCGUGCUCAAAAGAGUUAGAAUACACAAAGAAUAAAAAAAAAAUGAUAACAGAACUACAUGUAAAUAUCUUUGAAUUUUAUUUUUUAUGUAAUAAAAUGACUCCAAAGUUA